GGAACAGAGUGUUAUUGGAUCGCCUUAUUUUGAGAGUUAACUUGGUGUCCCACCGGAUAAAUGUCCCUUUGGUGUUGUGUCUCGUUGGAGUCUGAAUCGUUGGGGCAUUAUAUAUAUACAUGGAUCCCAUUAAGUCUAACCAACUUGAAAAUCAUUGAUGACCGUUGGAUCCUUUCAGGAUUAAAUCCUAGCCGUGUUAACUCAAAAAAGUAACCGAAAGAGUGGCAGUUCACGGCGGUUUCACAUUCUCUUUCCUAUUCUGAUGCAGUUAGGAGGUUUCCGGUGGUUUUACCCUAUCCACGUUCGCACGCUAUUUACCCCACUCCUCUUUUUUCUCCGGUUUACGUGGUAUUAAAGAAGGCAACCAUCCCUCCUUUCUUUCUUUAAUCACAGCAACAACCCUUCAUUUGUUUCUUCACUUCCAAUCGUUCAUCACCGAAAUCAGUGAUCGCUUCACGAUUGAAGCAUACAAUCACCACCAUUUAGCCUCCGGUCACAGGAAACCAUCGCAGGUUGCCGUUUGUUAAUAAGGGUGUGAACCAAUAAUCUUUACUUCUUCCUCAGAUCUUAUCAAGGUGAGUUUAAAUUUCUUAAUUUUGGUUCGCCGGGUCAACAGAAACCAACGUAGGUGCGACAUACGGGAAAUUGGCUGAUUGCCUCAAUAAUGUACAGCCUUGUAACCCUAGGGUUGCUUGUCUUUGAAAGUUUUCUCAUUUCUGACCAUAUGCUAAAUUAAAGGGAAAAACUGCUUACAAAUGCCCCACCCCCAAUAUCUGCACUGCUAAUGUUCUUUUUGAGGUUUUUAAGGCUGUUAAGCAAACACAGGCAAUGAUAGUGGAGAGAUAAUUGUUUUGGUUUUAUUGUAAAAUCAUGUAGCUAUAUUGUUGUGAAUAAUGAUUCGAAUGAUAGUGUUUUGAAGUUAAUGUUACAUGGAGACCAAGUAUUCGAUGAAAUGUCUUAAUGACAAAAUCGAAAUGAUCAGUUUGGAAUGAUCAUGAAUUUUGAGCAUGAGAUCCCAUCUUCUUCAGAGCUUGAUUGUAAUUUGUCAGUUUGAAGAAUGGUUGAUAAAAAAGGUUUAUUUUUAACCACUAGAAUAAGUCCUGUUUAUCAAAUGCUUUACGCUGGUGGAUCUUUUCAUUUGCCACAAAGCGCAAGUCAUUAAAAAGUUAGAUGGUUGUGACUUUUUACAAAAGGAGAAAGCAACCCCAAACACCCUCAAUAUGGAUUCUCUUUGUUUGUUACGUUGUUAGUGUAACCCGUCCACCGGACGGGUAUUAAACUAGUUCGGUUGGUGAGCGUGAAGUUGCUGCUAGGACUUGGAAUGUGAUUGCUAGAUGGCUUAAAUUAAAUUGGACCUUCCGAGUUCAAAAUUUCCAUCUGAAUAAUUCAAAGCAAUUAGUAGUCGAAUCUAUUCUCAUGAUGGUUUGGUUGAUUUUGUGGCGGUUCAAACAUGACUUCAUCUUGGAGAAGGAUAGGAGGAAUCGUGUUAAAUUAACAAUGUUAAUAUCUUUAAUGCCAUUGUUCAUUACUCGUUUUUUUUUUGGGCACUCGAAUAGGUCUUGUAAGAUUAAGUUUGCUUUGUAGAGUGGUUAAAGAACCCGGUUAUGUGUGUGUUACAGUAAUUGUUCCUUCCGUCUAGCUAUUUGCUAGUUGGGCUUUUAUAUUUGCUAAUUGGGCUUUUAUA
Helianthus annuus (common sunflower) is the source of this 1684-nucleotide long non-coding RNA. RefSeq lists it as uncharacterized. Lineage: Eukaryota; Viridiplantae; Streptophyta; Magnoliopsida; Asterales; Asteraceae. The transcript is spliced from 5 exons. The record is from RefSeq and is a predicted model, not a curated record.